Molecule: ribosomal RNA, 102 nt
Filed under: chicken gut metagenome
Source: RNAcentral
UUUGCGGUGAGGGUCCACCCGUUCCCAUCCCGAACACGGAAGUUAAGCUCACUAGUGCCGACGAUACUUGGCUGGAAACGGCCUGGGACAAUAGGGAGACGC